Unclassified non-coding RNA from Pongo abelii (Sumatran orangutan), 147 nucleotides. It matches the Rfam family "Metazoan signal recognition particle RNA". Rfam says of the family: The signal recognition particle (SRP) is a universally conserved ribonucleoprotein. It is involved in the co-translational targeting of proteins to membranes. The record is from Ensembl. Lineage: Eukaryota; Metazoa; Chordata; Mammalia; Primates; Hominidae.
GCUGGGCGUGGUAGCGCACGCCUGUAGUCCCAGCUACUCGGGAGGCUGAGGCGGAAGAAUCGCUUGAAACUGGGAGGCGGUGUUGCAGUGAGCCAAGAUGGCGCCACUGCACUCCAGCCUGGGUGACAGAGCAAGACUCUGUCUCAA